GAUGAACGCUGGCGGCGUGCCUAAUACAUGCAAGUCGGGCGAACAGACGAGGAGCUUGCUCCUCUGACGUUAGCGGCGGACGGGUGAGUAACACGUGGAUAACCUACCUAUAAGACUGGGAUAACUUCGGGAAACCGGAGCUAAUACCGGAUAAUAUAUUGAACCGCAUGGUUCAAUAGUGAAAGACGGUUUUGCUGUCACUUAUAGAUGGAUCCGCGCCGCAUUAGCUAGUUGGUAAGGUAACGGCUUACCAAGGCGACGAUGCGUAGCCGACCUGAGAGGGUGAUCGGCCACACUGGAGCUGAGACACGGUCCAGACUCCUACGGGAGGCAGCAGUAGGGAAUCUUCCGCAAUGGGCGAAAGCCUGACGGAGCAACGCCGCGUGAGUGAUGAAGGUCUUCGGAUCGUAAAACUCUGUUAUUAGGGAAGAACAAAUGUGUAAGUAACUAUGCACGUCUUGACGGUACCUAAUCAGAAAGCCACGGCUAACUACGUG
Molecule: ribosomal RNA, 497 nt
Filed under: uncultured bacterium
Lineage: Bacteria
Description: partial 16S ribosomal RNA
Rfam family: Bacterial small subunit ribosomal RNA
Source: RNAcentral